GAGGUGGGAGGAUUGCUUGAGCUUAGGAGGUCGAGGCUGCAGUGAGCAAUGAUGGCACCACUGCACUCCAGCCUGAGUGACAGAGCGAGACCUUGUCUC
Molecule: microRNA precursor, 99 nt
Organism: Gorilla gorilla gorilla (western lowland gorilla)
Lineage: Eukaryota; Metazoa; Chordata; Mammalia; Primates; Hominidae
Source: Ensembl